GGCAUGAUCGACGACGGCACCUCCAGCGGACUCUAUAUCCGCGGUGAGCCGACCGAUCGCGCCUGCGCGACGUUCGGCAUUCUCGUGAUACCA
This 93-nucleotide transfer RNA is filed under the name Ensifer meliloti. Its description in RNAcentral is "Sinorhizobium meliloti tRNA-Pyl". Lineage: Bacteria; Pseudomonadati; Pseudomonadota; Alphaproteobacteria; Hyphomicrobiales; Rhizobiaceae. The record is from RNAcentral.